AGCCAUAUAGAACUUGAGCC
This 20-nucleotide small nuclear RNA is filed under the name Arabidopsis thaliana (thale cress). RNAcentral's name for it is "snRNA_06835". The record is from RNAcentral. Lineage: Eukaryota; Viridiplantae; Streptophyta; Magnoliopsida; Brassicales; Brassicaceae.